GGGCGGUUAGCUCAGCUGGUGAGAGCGCUGGUCUCACAUACCAGAGGUCGUUGGUUCGAAUCCAAUACCGCCCA
Molecule: transfer RNA, 74 nt
Filed under: Deltaproteobacteria bacterium
Lineage: Bacteria; Pseudomonadati; Myxococcota; Myxococcia
Description: tRNA-Val
Rfam family: tRNA
About the family: Transfer RNA (tRNA) molecules are approximately 80 nucleotides in length. Their secondary structure includes four short double-helical elements and three loops (D, anti-codon, and T loops).
Source: RNAcentral